RNAcentral lists this ribosomal RNA (440 nucleotides) under uncultured bacterium. RNAcentral describes it as "partial 16S ribosomal RNA". It matches the Rfam family "Bacterial small subunit ribosomal RNA", at positions 338 to 795 of the family's 1533-position model. The record is from RNAcentral.
CCUACGGGAGGCUGCAGUGGGGGAUAUUGCACAAUGGGGGAAACCCUGAUGCAGCAACGCCGCGUGGGUGAAGAAGCGCCUCGGCUCGUAAAGCCCUGUCAGCAGGGAAGAAAAUGACGGUACCUGAAGAAGAAGCCCCGGCUAACUACGUGCCAGCAGCCGCGGUAAUACGUAGGGGGCAAGCGUUAUCCGGAUUUACUGGGUGUAAAGGGGGCGCAGACGGCGAUGCAAGCCAGGAGUGAAAGCCAGGGGCCUAACCCCUGGACUGCUCUUGGAACUGCGUGGCUAGAGUGCAGGAGGGGCAGGCGGAAUUCCUGGUGUAGCGGUGAAAUGCGUAGAGAUCAGGAGGAACCCCGAUUGCGAAGGCAGCUUACUAAACUGUGACUGACAUUGAUGCUCGAAAGUGUGGGUAUCAAACAGGAUUAGAUACCCCAGUAGUC